RNAcentral lists this transfer RNA (85 nucleotides) under Euzebyaceae bacterium. Its description in RNAcentral is "tRNA-Tyr". It matches the Rfam family "tRNA". From Rfam's summary of the family: Transfer RNA (tRNA) molecules are approximately 80 nucleotides in length. Their secondary structure includes four short double-helical elements and three loops (D, anti-codon, and T loops). RNAcentral also lists the same sequence under 1 other name. The record is from RNAcentral. Lineage: Bacteria; Bacillati; Actinomycetota; Nitriliruptoria; Euzebyales; Euzebyaceae.
GGUGGGAUGCCCGAGUGGCCAAAGGGAACGCGCUGUAAACGCGUCGGCUCAGCCUUCGAAGGUUCGAAUCCUUCUCCCACCACCA